AGAUGCUUUUUCCAAAGAUGGACAACCUUUCGAAGUUUCACUGCCACUUGAUAAACUAUCAGUUGAAAAUACACCAUCAUUAGAUACUGAACUCCAAAACAGAUUUCCGUUAGACAAAAGACCACCAGGGGAUUCUAAAGCAUUAUCUCCAGGGUCUUCGUCUAUUUCGAAAUCGGAAAACGUUUUGUAUGUUAAGAAAAAUAUCAACAGCAGCACAAUCAGCAUUGAUAACACAGAAGAAGUCCACCACUAUGCUCUUUCCAAAGAUGGACAACCUUUCGAAGUUUCACUGCCACAUGAUAAACUAUCAGUGGGCAGCCUCUCCAUUGUAGAGAACCAGAAGUCUUAGAUGUAUUCAUCUGCCUUACAGGAAGAUUUAUACUUGAAGACCGACAAACGGAUCUGACAGGAAAGGACGCUGAUAGAUUCAACUUUUUAUUUGUUACAGAAGACUUCAUAUUAUAUUUCCAUACCAAAUGUAUAGAUUUUAUAACAUAGUGAUACAGCACUUUAAAGGCAUACUGUCACGGAUUUAAGGACCUUAUUUCUCUAAAAAUGGAUAAUAAAUAAAAAUUACAUUGAUUGUUGGAAACCAAAUCUAGCUAUCGCAUCAACUUAACUGAACCUGAACCGUGAUGGAGUGAAAUCCAUGUCAACCCUCUCGGCAAUUUUAGUUUUUGAAUUAUGGACCAUUGCCAUAAUUCAAUUAUUUUUACAACAUAUCAUUAAUAAAUGGAGUAUGGUGGUUAUGAAGAUGGU
Molecule: long non-coding RNA, 759 nt
Filed under: Gigantopelta aegis
Lineage: Eukaryota; Metazoa; Mollusca; Gastropoda; Neomphalida; Peltospiridae
Description: uncharacterized LOC121366496
Source: RNAcentral